RNAcentral lists this ribosomal RNA (990 nucleotides) under Triticum aestivum (bread wheat). RNAcentral describes it as "partial small subunit ribosomal RNA". The record is from RNAcentral. Lineage: Eukaryota; Viridiplantae; Streptophyta; Magnoliopsida; Poales; Poaceae.
AUGAACUUGAAGGUGGCCGUGAAGCGGGUGUUGAGGGACAAGAAGGAACACACCAAUCGGGGAGAAAAGAAGUUUGUGGCGGAGGUGAACACGAUCAGCAAGCUAUCGCACCGGAACCUCAUGAAGCUGAUCGGCUGGUGCCACAAGAAGGGCGGGCUGCUCCUCGUCUAUGAGUACUUCCCCAUGGGCAGCCUGGACAAGCUCCUUUAUGCCUGAGAAAGGACCACGUUGUCAAAGCUUACCUGGGAAUGGCGGUAUAGGAUCAUCUGCAGCGUAGCAUCAGCGCUGGACUACCUGCACCACAGCAACAACAAGAGGAUCCUCCACAGGGACGUCAAGGCCAGCAAUGUGAUGCUGGAUGUGGAGUACAACACGUGGCUGGGGGACUUCAGCCUCACCCGCGUCAUCCAGCACGACGACGCCACGCACCACUCCACGCAGGUCGUGGCAGGGACCCACGACUACAUGGUGUACGAGAGCUUCUUCACCGGCCACGCCAGCCUCGACAUGGACGUGUACGCAUUUGGGGUGUUCGUCAUGGAGGUGGUCAGCGGGAGGAGCCCCAACAACGCCGUCGACCACCGUGGUGAGGAGGAUUACUCGGGCGACGGGGGAGCGCGACACCCCUUGCCGAUGCACAUCGUGGACUGGAUGUGGAGGCUGUACAGUGGAGGGAAGGCCUUGCAUGCCGCCGACCCUUUGCUCAGCGGCGAGUUUGACCAGGCGCAGGUGGACUGUGCGGUGAGGCUGGCGUUGGCGUGCUACCACCCGAACCCGAGGGAGAGGCCGUCCAUGAGGACGGCGGUGUAGGUGUUGAUCGAUGGUGCCCCGGCGCGAGAGUCGCCGGUUAAUAAGCCUGUGUUUGUUUGGCCUCCGGGCGACAAUCAGCGGGAGAUGGAGUUGCCGGACGUCGGGCUGCUGUUCACGGGAGGGGCUAGGCAGCACAGCAAUUUCUGCUCCUUGACCUCCACCUCCCUCACGGGGAGGUGA